Molecule: ribosomal RNA, 305 nt
Filed under: uncultured bacterium
Lineage: Bacteria
Description: bacterial SSU rRNA
Rfam family: Bacterial small subunit ribosomal RNA
Source: RNAcentral
AUCAUCCUACGGGAGGCAGCAGUGGGGGAUAUUGCACAAUGGGGGAAACCCUGAUGCAGCGACGCCGCGUGGGCGAAGAAGUAUUUCGGUAUGUAAAGCCCUAUCAGCAGGGAAGAAGAAAUGACGGUACCUGAGUAAGAAGCACCGGCUAAAUACGUGCCAGCAGCCGCGGUAAUACGUAUGGUGCAAGCGUUAUCCGGAUUUACUGGGUGUAAAGGGAGCGUAGACGGCGAAGAAAGUCUGAAGUGAAAGCCCGCGGCUUAACCGCGGAACUGCUUUGGAAACUUUUUUGCUGGAGUACCGGG